UAGGGAAUCUUCGGCAAUGGGGGCAACCCUGACCGAGCAACGCCGCGUGAGUGAAGAAGGUUUUCGGAUCGUAAAGCUCUGUUGUAAGUCAAGAACGGGUGUGAGAGUGGAAAGUUCACACUGUGACGGUAGCUUACCAGAAAGGGACGGCUAACUACGUGCCAGCAGCCGCGGUAAUACGUAGGUCCCGAGCGUUGUCCGGAUUUAUUGGGCGUAAAGCGAGCGCAGGCGGUUUGAUAAGUCUGAAGUUAAAGGCUGUGGCUCAACCAUAGUUCGCUUUGGAAACUGUCAAACUUGAGUGCAGAAGGGGAGAGUGGAAUUCCAUGUGUAGCGGUGAAAUUGCGUAGAUAUAUGGAGGAACACCGGUGGCGAAAGCGGCUCUCUGGUCUGUAACUGACGCUGAGGCUCGAAAGCGUGGGGAGCGAACAGGAUUAGAUACCCUGGUAGUCCACGCCGUAAACGAUGAGUGCUAGGUGUUGGAUCCUUUCCGGGAUUCAGUGCCGCAGCUAACGCAUUAAGCACUCCGCCUGGGGAGUACGACCGCAAGGUUGA
This 552-nucleotide ribosomal RNA is filed under the name uncultured bacterium. Its description in RNAcentral is "partial 16S ribosomal RNA". It matches the Rfam family "Bacterial small subunit ribosomal RNA", at positions 355 to 897 of the family's 1533-position model. The record is from RNAcentral.